This 233-nucleotide ribosomal RNA is filed under the name uncultured bacterium. RNAcentral describes it as "partial 16S ribosomal RNA". It matches the Rfam family "Bacterial small subunit ribosomal RNA", at positions 16 to 244 of the family's 1533-position model. The record is from RNAcentral.
AUCAUGGCUCAGGACGAACGCUGGCGGCGCGCCUAACACAUGCAAGUCGAACGAGAGAGAAGGAGCUUGCUUCUUCGAUCGAGUGGCGAACGGGUGAGUAACGCGUGAGGAACCUGCCUCAAAGAGGGGGACAACAGCUGGAAACGACUGCUAAUACCGCAUAAGCCCAUGGGUCGGCAUCGACCUGAGGGAAAAGGAGCAAUCCGCUUUGAGAUGGCCUCGCGUCCGAUUAG